RNAcentral lists this ribosomal RNA (253 nucleotides) under uncultured bacterium. RNAcentral describes it as "partial 16S ribosomal RNA". It matches the Rfam family "Bacterial small subunit ribosomal RNA", at positions 524 to 776 of the family's 1533-position model. The record is from RNAcentral.
UACGUAGGUGGCAAGCGUUGUCCGGAUUUACUGGGUGUAAAGGGCGUGCAGCCGGAGAGACAAGUCAGAUGUGAAAUCUACGGGCUCAACCCGUGAACUGCAUUUGAAACUGUUUCCCUUGAGUGUCGGAGAGGUAAUCGGAAUUCCUUGUGUAGCGGUGAAAUGCGUAGAUAUAAGGAAGAACACCAGUGGCGAAGGCGGAUUACUGGACGAUAACUGACGGUGAGGCGCGAAAGCGUGGGGAGCAAACAGG